Molecule: unclassified non-coding RNA, 348 nt
Filed under: soil metagenome
Description: partial contains 5.8S ribosomal RNA, internal transcribed spacer 2, and large subunit ribosomal RNA
Rfam family: 5.8S ribosomal RNA (bases 1-120)
Source: RNAcentral
GAUGAAGAACGCAGCAAAAUGCGAUAAGUAAUGUGAAUUGCAGAAUUCAGUGAAUCAUCGAAUCUUUGAACGCACAUUGCGCCCGCUGGUAUUCCGGCGGGCAUGCCUGUUCGAGCGUCAUUUCAACCCUCAAGCCCCCGGGUUUGGUGUUGGGGAUCGGCUCUGCCCUUCUGGGCGGUGCCGCCCCCGAAAUACAUUGGCGGUCUCGCUGCAGCCUCCAUUGCGUAGUAGCUAACACCUCGCAACUGGAACGCGGCGCGGCCAUGCCGUAAAACCCCAACUUCUGAAUGUUGACCUCGGAUCAGGUAGGAAUAACCGCUGAACUUAAGCAUAUCAAUAAGCGGAGGA